This 88-nucleotide microRNA precursor is filed under the name Bombyx mori (domestic silkworm). RNAcentral describes it as "mir-2807 microRNA precursor family". It matches the Rfam family "mir-2807 microRNA precursor family". Lineage: Eukaryota; Metazoa; Arthropoda; Insecta; Lepidoptera; Bombycidae. The record is from Rfam by way of RNAcentral.
AAAAAAAAAAAUUGUAGGGAGUUGGAACGCUUGCCUAUGUUUGCCGCUAGGGGCGCUGUUCCAACUCCAUGAGUCAACUUUUACGCUA